RNAcentral lists this ribosomal RNA (293 nucleotides) under uncultured bacterium. RNAcentral describes it as "partial 16S ribosomal RNA". The record is from RNAcentral.
GGACUACAGGGGUAUCUAAUCCGUUUUGCUCCCCACGCUUUCGUGCCUCAAUGUCAGUAACAGAAUAGUUAACUGCCUUCGCCGUUAUUGGUGUUCCCCUAUAUAUCCUUGCAUUUUACCGCUCCACAUAGAGUUCCGUUAACCUCUCCUGCACUCUAGCAAAAUAGUAUUACCAACUUCCACGAGGUUGGGCCCCGCUUUCACCGAUAACUUGUUAUGCCAUCUACGCACCCUUUACGCCCAGUAAUUCCGGAUAACGUUCGCCACCUACGUCUUACCGCGGCGGCUGGCAC